This 39-nucleotide ribosomal RNA is filed under the name Trichocentrum hians. Its description in RNAcentral is "Grandiphyllum hians partial 26S ribosomal RNA". The record is from RNAcentral. Lineage: Eukaryota; Viridiplantae; Streptophyta; Magnoliopsida; Asparagales; Orchidaceae.
GCGACCCCAGGNUGGGCGAGGCCACCCGCCGAGUUUAAG